CUUAAGCAUAUCAAUAAGCGGAGGAAAAGAAACCAACAGGGAUUGCCUCAGUAACGGCGAGUGAAGCGGCAACAGCUCAAAUUUGAAAUCUGGCGCCUUCGGCGUCCGAGUUGUAAUUUGUAGAGGAUGCUAUUGGGUUGCCACCGGUCUAAGUUCCUUGGAACAGGACGUCACAGAGGGUGAGAAUCCCGUAUGUGACCGGCCAGGCGCCUUCUGUAUAGCUCCUUCGACGAGUCGGGUUGUUUGGGAAUGCAGCCCUAAAUGGGAGGUAAAUUUCUUCUAAAGCUAAAUACCGGCCAGAGACCGAUAGCGCACAAGUAGAGUGAUCGAAAGAUGAAAAGCACUUUGGAAAGAGAGUUAAAAAGCACGUGAAAUUGUUGAAAGGGAAGCGCUUGCAAUCAGUCUCGACGGCGGCUGUUCGGCCUCUCUUCUGAGUGGUUUAUUCAGUCGCCGCCGGGCCAGCAUCAGUUUUGGCGGUCGGAUAAAGGCGUGGGGAAUGUAGCUCCUCCGGGAGUGUUAUAGCCCCGCGUGCAAUACGGCCCGCCGGGACUGAGGUCCGCGCUUCGGCUAGGAUGCUGGCGAAAUGGUUGUAAGCGGCCCGUCUUGAAACACGGACCAAGGAGUCUAACAUCUACGCGAGUGUUUGGGUGUCAAACCCGUGCGCGCAAUGAAAGUGAACGGAGGUGGGAACCGCAAGGUGCACCAUCGACCGAUCCUGAUGUCUUCGGAUGGAUUUGAGUAAGAGCGUAGCUGUUGGGACCCGAAAGAUGGUGAACUAUGCCUGAAUAGGGUGAAGCCAGAGGAAACUCUGGUGGAGGCUCGCAGCGGUUCUGACGUGCAAAUCGAUCGUCAAAUUUGGGUAUAGGGGCGAAAGACUAAUCGAACCAUCUAGUAGCUGGUUCCUGCC
RNAcentral lists this ribosomal RNA (907 nucleotides) under Elsinoe bidentis. RNAcentral's name for it is "eukaryotic LSU rRNA". It matches the Rfam family "Eukaryotic large subunit ribosomal RNA", at positions 33 to 962 of the family's 3401-position model. Lineage: Eukaryota; Fungi; Ascomycota; Dothideomycetes; Myriangiales; Elsinoaceae. The record is from RNAcentral.